Capsicum annuum is the source of this 1304-nucleotide long non-coding RNA. RefSeq lists it as uncharacterized. The record is from RefSeq and is a predicted model, not a curated record. The transcript is spliced from 4 exons. NCBI's taxonomy places the organism in Eukaryota, Viridiplantae, Streptophyta, Magnoliopsida, Solanales, Solanaceae.
CCACCAUAAUAAUUCAGAUGUGUCUGCAAUAACAAAACAUUUUUCUCUUUUCUCAAUAGAAAAUAUCGAUAAACCAAAACCCAUUUCUCUUUCUCAAUAGCAGCGUUCUUUUUCUUUCUUUCUCAGGUAAACCAAAACCAGUUUCUCUUUCUCGAUAGCUGCUACUAGAAAAGGAUUUUGCAAAACGUUUUCUUAGGUUUCUCUUUCUUAGCUGCUACAUCACCCGUUUCUUAGGUUGCAAAACCAAAUUGCAAAUCUCAAUAGCAGGUUUCACCGAGAUUCAUUUUAAAGGAGAGAGAAAAAUGAUCCAUUUCUCAGUUUGGACCUUUUGCUUUUGCAACUUUGGCUUGCUAAUCAAGUUUAAAGAGGAAGGUGAAGAAAACUAAAAUAACAAGGCAAAGUUAUUACUUCUCUGCAUAAGGGGUUCUGAAUCUGUAACAAAUCUCAGUAAACAUGUUUCUCACUAGGAGUGGAAUUUGGGCUCGAAAACUCUAAACAUGAAAAGGUUCCAUUUCUCAGAUUCGAGUUCUUAGCUUUAGUUUUAGUAUCAAAAUAGCAUCUGGGAAUAGAUAAAUGGAAAAUCCAUUUCUUAGUUAAAUCGAAAAUCAAGUAUUGUAGCUUUCUUAGGUAAAUCAAAAACCCUUUCUCAGAUAAUAAAUUUUCAAAGCAUCUGUGAAGAAAGUGUUACUCAAGAGGGAAAAUUGAUUUUCGAAGCGUCUGUGACAGAAAUUGAAUUUUGGGGGUGAAUUUUGUGAGGAGAAGGAAAUUGGAAAUCGAUUGAAGAAGAAGCUCGUUAAGGAAAGUGAAGGUUGGGAUACCCCGAAGCUAGUGAUAAAGUUGAUUGAAGGAAGUUGAUCCAACUGUGGAGAAUGACGAUACAAUUAGAUCAAAUGGAAUGACGAUACGAUUAGAUCAAAUGGAAGUGGAAUGGAUGAUUUUCUGUCUGAUUUGGCAAAUUGUUAUUCCUGGAAUUGAUGAAGCUAUGAGUUUUGCUGAGAUGCUCAAAUGACUUCAAGGGACCAAGUCCCUGGAUGUUCGAGGCAACAACACAAUUGGAACGCGCCAGCACAGCUUUGCCCAUUUGUGUAACUAAUUGGAAGGUGUUGUUUGUACUAAUUAGGACACGUGGUCCUAAAUUUGAAGAAAAUUUUGAAGUAACCGGUGAUAUUUUAGGAAAAACUAAUUAAAGAUUAAAAUCUGUAUUGAAGGUCACAAAUGACAAGGUUAUAAGAACUUUGUCCGAAAUUAAGCUCUAAAUAUUCAGUAAAAAGGCAUUAUUAUAAAAAAAAAAACACAUUUUCAGA